AAUAAUAUAACAGUUCUCUCUUCUCUUUCUCUCCUUCAUCUCCUCUUCUCUAUUCUUCCUCAUAUUGUUAUUAGUUUUAUAACACCAACGUUAUUAUAUGGUUUUUUUUUUUUUACAAACGUUAUUAUACGGUUAAAAAUAGCAUAAUUAAUGAAAAAUGCUAGCUAUAGAAUCUAUAUAUGGCACUAGGUAAGAAACCACUUUUUUUUUUGGGUACAAACCACUUAUUUAAUUUUAAGGAUGUUACUAACGAGUAACUCCAGAACGUUCUUUAAACAUUAUUUUGAAAGAAAUCAUUUUACAGUGUCUUCACACAUUCAUAAGCCCCUAUUAAGGUUUAUACAUUCACAAAUCCCAAAUCCCAAGAUGUACUUUAUUGGAUUCUGAAUAUUGAAGUUGCAAUAUGGAAUUUCAGGAUGGAGACAGAUUAAAUCAUGGCAUUGCUCAGUUUUUUCGCAUAUUGAUAUGCCUGUAACAUCAAAUUAGAAUUAAGGAACGUUAUCAAAAUAGGGUGAAACAAUUUUGAAUAAGAUAUGAAAAGAAAAUUUAAAGGUAAAUUGUUAGGUAUUUGGUUUUUGUUUGAAUACUGAUAUACAAAAUUUAUUUAAAAUUUAUAUUUAUAUUUUUUUGAAAAGGCAAAAUAUAUUCAUGAGUGAAUUAGGCAAAAGGUGUACAUAUAUCAUAGGUCUCAAAUUCAUAUAUGUGCUAAAAUAAAAAUAGCUAAGCUACCAUGAAUCAAUCACAUAGACUAAAUGAAAUAAACACAAAAGCUCCUGAUGACAGCCAGGCUCUUGAUAUUAACAUAAAUUAUAGUUAAACAAAUUUUUAUAAAUAAUUAAAGUUUCUUUUGUAAUUAGUCUUACAAAAAAUAAUUUUAGCAAAUUUUGGUUUUCUAAAUAUUUUUUAUCAUACUAUGGUCUAUAAGUCAACUCAUAUGUAUACUUUCAUAUUUUUUAAUGAAUUUUUGUAUUAAUAUUGAUAAUAUUAUAAGAAUUUCUACCAUAAAAAUUUAGAAUCUUUGAACAUAAGAUGAGUUAAAUAUGAAAUUUUAAACGCAUAAAAUUUAAAAAUUUCAUAUUUAAUUCAUCCAUUGUUGCAAAAAAAUUAAAUUUUGUAAGAGAGAUUUCUAUAACGUACUAAACAUAACUACGAAAAAAUUCAAAAUUUUGAAUAAUUGCAUGAGUUGAGUUAAAUGCAAGGACAAAAAAUUGUACGAAAAAUAUUUGAGGAACAAACUUGUUGAACUAUUUUAGAGAUUAAAAAUAAAUUUUCAGAUAUUUAUCAGAACCAAACAGUUAUUUAACCUUAUAAUUAAAUUAACAUGAAAUAUGAUACGGUUUUUAAUAUUUGAGAGAGAUACCAGAAUCAAACUAAACUCUCAAGUACGACCGUUCACCAAAUUUAGAAGCGUUGAUAAAAAUUACUUACUGCAGUUUGUUAUAGAAAUAAUUAUGGAAAAAACAAUAAUCAUAGCAUAAAUAAAUAUAUAAACUUCAGCCAUGUUUUCUCUUUUAUGAAUCUAGAAAUAGGAAUUGGUUGAUCAUUUUAUAGUGUGGAAAAAAGUCUUUUUUUUUUUGCUUAACUACA
Molecule: long non-coding RNA, 1587 nt
Filed under: Trifolium pratense (red clover)
Lineage: Eukaryota; Viridiplantae; Streptophyta; Magnoliopsida; Fabales; Fabaceae
Description: long non-coding RNA (TPRA_LNC003822)
Source: RNAcentral